CAUCGCCGCGGGAAUACAGAGGGUGCAAGCGUUAAUCGGAAUUACUGGGCGUAAAGCGCGCGUAGGUGGUUUGUUAAGUUGGAUGUGAAAGCCCCGGGCUCAACCUGGGAACUGCAUCCAAAACUGGCAAGCUAGAGUACGGUAGAGGGUGGUGGAAUUUCCUGUGUAGCGGUGAAAUGCGUAGAUAUAGGAAGGAACACCAGUGGCGAAGGCGACCACCUGGACUGAUACUGACACUGAGGUGCGAAAGCGUGGGGAGCAAACAGGAUUAGAUACCCGUGUAGUCCCUGUCUCUUAUACA
This 301-nucleotide ribosomal RNA is filed under the name uncultured bacterium. Its description in RNAcentral is "partial 16S ribosomal RNA". It matches the Rfam family "Bacterial small subunit ribosomal RNA", at positions 512 to 808 of the family's 1533-position model. The record is from RNAcentral.